Molecule: ribosomal RNA, 500 nt
Filed under: uncultured bacterium
Lineage: Bacteria
Description: bacterial SSU rRNA
Rfam family: Bacterial small subunit ribosomal RNA
Source: RNAcentral
CGGCGUGCUUAACACAUGCAAGUCGAACGCGAAAGGGGACUUCGGUCCUGAGUAAAGUGGCGCACGGGUGAGUAACGCGUAGAUAACCUGUCUUCAUGUCUGGAAUAAUACGCCGAAAGGGGUACUAAUACCGGAUAUUCUUGCUUUUCAUAAGUUAUGCAAGCAAAGGUGGCCUCUGCAUAUGCUACUGCAUGAAGAGGGGUCUGCGUACCAUUAGCUAGUAGGUGGGGUAAUGGCCUACCUAGGCGACGAUGGUUAGCGGGUCUGAGAGGAUGAUCCGCCACACUGGCACUGGAACACGGGCCAGACUCCUACGGGAGGCAGCAGUGAGGAAUAUUGCGCAAUGGGGGAAACCCUGACGCAGCGACGCCGCGUGAGUGAAGGAAGGCCUUCGGGUCGUAAAGCUCUGUCAAGAGGAAAGAAGUGUACAAUGGCUAAUACCUGUUGUAUUUGACGGUACCUCUAAAGGAAGCACCGGCUAACUCCGUGCCAGCCGCAGC